RNAcentral lists this ribosomal RNA (429 nucleotides) under Actinomycetes bacterium. RNAcentral's name for it is "Actinobacteria bacterium partial 16S ribosomal RNA". It matches the Rfam family "Bacterial small subunit ribosomal RNA", at positions 355 to 776 of the family's 1533-position model. The record is from RNAcentral. Lineage: Bacteria; Bacillati; Actinomycetota; Actinomycetes.
UAGGGAAUCUUCCGCAAUGGGCGAAAGCUUGACGGAGCAACGCCGCGUGAGUGAUGAAGGUCUUCGGAUCGUAAAACUCUGUUAUUAGGGAAGAACAAAUGUGUAAGUAACUAUGCACGUCUUGACGGUACCUAAUCAGAAAGCCACGGCUAACUACGUGCCAGCAGCCGCGGUAAUACGUAGGUGGCAAGCGUUAUCCGGAAUUAUUGGGCGUAAAGCGCGCGUAGGCGGUUUUUUAAGUCUGAUGUGAAAGCCCACGGCUCAACCGUGGAGGGUCAUUGGAAACUGUAAUACUUGUGGUCAGAAGAGGACAGUGGAAUUCCAUGUGUAGCGGUGAAAUGCGCAGAAAUAUGGAGGAACACCAGUGGCGAAGGCGACUUUCUGUUCUGUAACUAACGCUGAUGUGCGAAAGCGUGGGGAUCAAACAGG